AUACAUGAUUUAAAUGUCAAACAUAGUGGACUUUAUUCCAUCGACAUCAACAGUAAAGAGCAGGAACACAGAUUCCACUUGAAAGUGUUGGAGCGGGUCCCUAAACCUGUGAUAAGAACAGAGAAGAGCAGUAACCCUGAUGUUGUGUAUUUAAUAUGCGAGUGAACAAUCGUCUGGAAGAAUUCUGCCGCAGAAACACUGAAGCGCUCAAAGCACCAUCUAAAAGGAGAGUUCAUCACAGUUGAAAAACAAGGAAAUCCAGAAAACUUCUACACCUGCACACUCGAGCACGCCGUGAGUGAAGCGACCAGUGAUCCGGUCUGUGAGAGAGAUCUGUUUAAUGAUUUGAACACAAGUCUUGUCGUUGCAAUUGCCAUUUCUUUGAUCACUGCGGUUAUUAUCAUCCUUUUUCUCAUUAAAAUUCCUUUUCACGAUUAUUGUGCUGCUUGCAGUGGAAGACCCAAGAUUUACGAGAAAACAGCUGAUACGUGAAUGUUAGAUGCUGCAUCAGCUACACACUUCUGCUCAUCAUGAAUCCUCCAAAGCCCAAC
Molecule: long non-coding RNA, 551 nt
Organism: Sinocyclocheilus grahami
Lineage: Eukaryota; Metazoa; Chordata; Actinopteri; Cypriniformes; Cyprinidae
Exons: 5
Source: RefSeq, a predicted model, not a curated record